Long non-coding RNA from Nymphalis io (European peacock), 709 nucleotides. RefSeq lists it as uncharacterized. The transcript is spliced from 2 exons. NCBI's taxonomy places the organism in Eukaryota, Metazoa, Arthropoda, Insecta, Lepidoptera, Nymphalidae. The record is from RefSeq and is a predicted model, not a curated record.
AUAAAAUAUAAAACUUCGUGUGUAAUACAAAUAACAAGUAUUUUUGUAUUAAUUUACAAUUCAGCAUGAAGAUAUUUGGAAUAUAUUAUUGGGGUCUUAUUUUUUUAAUCUUUUGUUUCACCGAUGCUUGCUCUAUAUGCAAUGCACGUGAUAUGGGAGAAGAUGGUUCAGGAAAAUACGUUAAAGUUCCCAUUCCUAGAAGAAAAUAUAUUGUUCGACUGAUAAAUAGCACGUCCCCUUAUUAAUAUUACUAUAAAAUUUGGAACCAUUUAGGUUUUGUUUCAUUUAUAUACUACAUCACAUUUGACUAAAGCAUAUAAACAGACUAUUGUGCACAAAGUUUUUUUUUCUUCUUUUUGGGGUGUGUGUUUACACUAGUUGAGCGCGACAAAUAACUAAUUGGACGUCAUUUGUUACCUGACAGGCCUAUCGCAAGUUUUCACAAAAUAAAAUACCUGGAAAAGUUCAAAAGACAUUAGAUAGACCAAAAACUACAUUGGCCCCUCAAAUACAAGAAAUAUUUCAGCAAAUCAACGACAGUUCGAUUUAUAACAAGACUUAUCGCGAAACAAUUCUACACCAGUUGAAGCUGAUCUUUCAUACUUCAUCUACGACCCUACGCCCUCGUUGCAGAAAAAAUAUUAUUCAUUCAUGAGUGUUUAUAAUUUAUAUAUAAUCAUUAAUUUAUUAUAAAAAUAUCUUUAAUUUA